Molecule: long non-coding RNA, 363 nt
Organism: Mus musculus (house mouse)
Lineage: Eukaryota; Metazoa; Chordata; Mammalia; Rodentia; Muridae
Product: predicted gene, 52551
Exons: 2
Source: RefSeq, a predicted model, not a curated record
GCACAAGCCUGUCCCAGAAACAAUCCUCCCCCUCUUGACCCCAAGCCGGGGACUUCCCUUAUAUUACGAAACAUGCUCCGGAGCUACGCAAAGCAUCGCCUGCCUACACACUUUUCAAGGCAACGCCUGGCAUGCAUUGGACUUGUGGCGUUUCUUCUGCUUCAAUUUCCCAAAUGCUGGGACCACAGGUGGCAACAGCCAUGUCUGCCCACCUGGCAAGCCCGACACAGGAAAACGACCUUCCCAAGCUUCCUUAUCAGCCACAUCCAGCACUUGCUCUCUCUAAGCCCUAAAAUGUCCCUACCUUACUGGGACCUUAUUAAAGUUACAGGAUCAAAUAUUUAUAAAGCCUUUAGAACGGUC